Molecule: ribosomal RNA, 2355 nt
Filed under: Clostridioides difficile Y343
Lineage: Bacteria; Bacillati; Bacillota; Clostridia; Peptostreptococcales; Peptostreptococcaceae
Source: RNAcentral
UAUUUAGCUUAUCGAUACUAAUAGGUCGAGGACUUGACCAAUAUUAUUUGAUGUUAUUCAUUAAGAUAUAUGUGCAGUUUUUAGAGUGUUAACUCUAUGUAAAGUACUAACUUCAAUUGAUGAAGUAUAUAUCGUAAAAACAAUUACUAUUUAGUACUUCAAAACUAUUGACAUUUAAAAAUAAAGAUGUUAAUAUAAUACUUGUCUUAUAAAUAGGCAAUAUGUGGUUAUAAUAGCAGAGAGGAUACACCUGUUCCCAUUCCGAACACAGAAGUUAAGCUCUCUAGCGCUGAUGGUACUUGGUGGGAAACUGCCUGGGAGAGUAGGACGUAGCCACGUAAUUUUUUUUGGGUAAAUUUAUAAAAAUUAAAAAAGUUUUAUUUUUUAUGUUUAAACCUUGUAAAUUUGGGACAUAAUAUAAUUGUAAAACUUAAUAUAGCAAAAAUAAAUUACUCAAUCUCCCCCACUUAAAGACCUCUAUCCCCCAUAGAGGUCUUUUUUAUUUUCAAACCAAAUUAUAUAAAAAAUAAAUAGUUUUAUAUGACUCUUCAUAAAUUAAAAUCACAUUGUGAUAGCAAACCAUGAAUAUGAAAAAUAUAGAAAAUUAUAGCUAACAUAAGCUGUAUAUCAUCUUAACUUCAGUAUAUUUAACAAAAAAUGUUUAUAAUUUAACCUUUAUUUUAAUAAGUUUACUAUAUAUUCACUUUGUCUUAAUAUAUCCUUUACAAAUUAAGAGUAUUAUUAAUCUAUAAGUAAAUCGUAGAAUUAAAUUAAAUAUUUUGGGAGGAUAAAAAUGGCAGAUAUAAGACUAGAAAAUGUAACAAAAUCUUAUAAUAAAAAAAAUACAGUUAUAGAAAAUUUAAAUCUUACUAUAGAAGAUGGUUCUUUUACAGUAUUGGUAGGCCCAAGUGGAUGUGGUAAAUCUACUACGUUAAGAAUGAUUGCAGGUCUUGAAGAUAUAACUUCAGGUAGGUUGAAGAUUGAAGAAAAUGAUGUUACAAAAACGGAUGCUAGUAAAAGGGAUAUAGCUAUGGUAUUUCAAAAUUAUGCAUUAUAUCCACAUAUGACUGUUAGAGAAAACAUAGAAUUUGGUCUUAAAAACAAAAAAGUAGAAAAAGAAAAAAGAGAAAAACUUAUAACAGAAGUUAUUGAUGUAGUAGGAUUGAGAGAAUAUUUAAAUGUGAAACCAGGCAACUUAUCUGGAGGUCAAAGACAAAGAGUGGCACUUGCUAGAGCUAUGGUUAAAAAUCCAAAGGUAUUUUUAAUGGAUGAACCAUUGUCAAAUUUAGAUGCUAAAUUAAGAAAUCAAAUGAGAACAGAAUUAAUACAAUUACAUCAAAAACUAAAGUCUACAUUUGUUUAUGUAACUCAUGACCAGGUUGAGGCAAUGUCAAUGGCAGAUAAGAUAGUUAUAAUGAACAAAGGAAAGAUAAUGCAAAUAGGUUCUCCAAAGAAGAUAUAUCAAAAUCCUAAAAAUUUAUUUGUAGCUCAAUUUAUAGGGAGUCCUUGUAUGAACAUACUAGAUAUAAAAAAUGAUAUUAAAUUUGGAUUCAGACCAGAAAAAGCAACACUAGAGAGUAUAAACAUAGAUGGAAAAAAUGAUGAUGUAUUUAGUCUAUUUGGAAAAGUUGUAACUAAAGAAGUGUUGGGAAAUGAAACUAUAUAUUGUUUAUCUGUUCUUAAUAGAGAGAUAAGAGUCAAAACGGAAAAUGAUAUAUUUGAUAUUGGAAGAACUUUAAGAAUAAGUGUAUUAGAAAAAGAUUUAUAUUAUUUUGAUAAAAAUGGAGAAAGAAUAGAAGAUGUAAAAGUAUGUAAAAGUAUGUAUUCUAAAAUUAAAGGAGAUAUUUAUGAAAAAGCAAUUUAAUAAAGCAUAUUUAUAUAUAACACCUGCUAUUAUAGGAACUUUAUUGUUUAUAGUCUAUCCAAUAAUUAAGACAAUAUCUCUAAGCUUCAAAUCUGGUAGUCUUCUUAGUUCAACCUUUGAAAAUGUAGGCUUAAACAAUUAUACAGAACUUUUAAAGAAUCCAGAGUUUAUACAAACUAUAACGAACACUGCAAUUUAUACUUUUUUUAUGGUGACUAUAUCUAUAUCACUAGCCAUAGUACUUGCUGUUUGGCUAAAUAAAAAUUCUAUAAUACACAAUUUAACGCAAAGUAUAAUCUUUACACCACAUGUAAUUUCACUAGUAUCUGUAGCUGUAUUGUGGCUUUGGAUUAUGGAGCCACAAUAUGGCUUUUUAAACUGGAUACUAUCGACAUUACAUUUACCAACAUCAAAGUGGCUUUCAAGUGAAAGUUCAGCUUUAAUGUCACUAAUUCUAAUAGGAAUAUGGAAGACUCUUGGAUACAAUAUCU